Molecule: transfer RNA, 77 nt
Filed under: Maridesulfovibrio ferrireducens
Lineage: Bacteria; Pseudomonadati; Thermodesulfobacteriota; Desulfovibrionia; Desulfovibrionales; Desulfovibrionaceae
Description: Desulfovibrio ferrireducens tRNA_Arg_CCG
Rfam family: tRNA
About the family: Transfer RNA (tRNA) molecules are approximately 80 nucleotides in length. Their secondary structure includes four short double-helical elements and three loops (D, anti-codon, and T loops).
Source: RNAcentral
GGGCAAUUAGCUCAGUUGGAUAGAGUGUCAGCCUCCGGAGCUGAAGGUCGCAGGUUCGAAUCUUGCAUUGCCCACCA